RNAcentral lists this ribosomal RNA (1385 nucleotides) under Euplotes focardii. Its description in RNAcentral is "partial Eukaryotic large subunit ribosomal RNA". It matches the Rfam family "Eukaryotic large subunit ribosomal RNA", at positions 1 to 1390 of the family's 3401-position model. Lineage: Eukaryota; Ciliophora; Spirotrichea; Euplotida; Euplotidae. The record is from RNAcentral.
AUCUGAAGUCAAGCAAGAGCACGCGCUGAACUUAAGCAUAUCACUAAGCGCAGGUAAAAGAAAAUAACUAUGAUUGCCUCAGUAACGGCGAGUGAACCGGCAAUAGCCCAAGAUGAGAAUCGCUGCUCUGCGAGCACGCGAGUUGUAAUCUAAAGGGUGGUCACUGACUGGUUCUUCUGACGCCCAAGUGUCUUGGAAUAGACCGCCAGGGAGGGUGAAAGCCCCGUACGGUGUCGGAGGAACGCUAGGUGGCCGCUUGAAGAGUCGAGUUGUUCGGGACUGCAGCUCUAAGUGGGAGGUAGACUUCUCCUAAGGCUAAAUAACUAUGAGAGACCGAUAGCGAACAAGUAAUGUGAAUGAAAGAUGAAAAAUAAAUUUCCUUCCGUAAGAACUUUGAAUGAACAAAAGAGAAUUAAAGAGACCUGAAACCGUUGAGGUGGAAGCGAUAGGAAGUUUUCAUUUGGUUGGGAGCUGGCAAAACGGAUUCGUCUGUGAGUUUGCUCCCGGCCGAAGCGGUUGUUUGCCUUUGGGCGCCUCAGAAACCCAUCUGGGCCAGAGCUUCGGCAUCACUUAGAUGGAGAAUGUUGCGGCUGAGGGCAAGGAACCUUUGAUGUUUUCCUACCGACUCGUCUUGAAACACGAACCAAGGAGUCUAACAGACAUGCGAUUAUGUUGGUGCUUUGAAAACCAUACAUGAGCAAUGAAAGUAAGCGGUGCCAAUCGUAAGAUGCAGCAUCGGCCAGUUGUGAUCCUCUGGAGAAGCGUACUGGCUGUGAGCAUAUCUGUUAGGACCCGAAAGAUGGUGAACUACGCUUGAGUAGGGUGAAGCCAGGGGAAACUCUUGUGGAAGCCCGAAGCGGUACUGACGUGCAAAUCGUUCGUCAAACUUGAGUGUAGGGGCGAAAGACUAAUCGAACCAUCUAGUAGCUGGUUCCCUCCGAAGUUUCUCUCAGGAUAGCAAGGACAAUUAAAGCAGUUUUUAUUUCAAUUAGGUAAAGAAUAAAUGAUUAGAAGCAUCUGGGGGUUUUAUUAGUGCUCUCGACUUAGUUCUCAAACUCUAAAUAUUUGUAAUAACUCGGUAUUCCUUAACUGAAGAUCGAGGCAGAAUGCUUGUCCUUAGUGGGCCAUUUUUGGUAAGCAGAACUGGCGAUGAGGGAUGAACCUAACUCUGGGUUAAGGUGCCAAACUGCACGCGCAUCAGAUACCUCAAAGGGUGUGUUGAUUCAUUUAGACAGCAGGACGGUGGCCAUGGAAGUCGGAAUCCGCUAAGGAGUGUGUAACAACUCACCUGCCGAAUGAAUUAGCCCUGAAAAUGGAUGGCGCUCAAGCGUCGGGCCUAUGCUCUGCCGUAGAUCCAAGUUGUUUUGGUCUACGAGUAGGAUGGC